CUAAGAAUAUUCCGCAAUGGACGGAAGUCUGACGGAGCGACGCCGCGUGGAUGACGAAGGCCGAAAGGUUGUAAAGUUCUUUUGCUGGGGAAGAAUAACCGCAGGAGGGAAUGCCUGUGGGAUGACAAGAACCGGCGAAUAAGCCCCGGCCAACUACGUGCCAGCAGCCGCGGUAACACGUAGGGGGCGAGCGUUGUUCGGAAUUACUGGGCGUAAAGGGGAUGUAGGCGGCUUGGAAAGCCUGGCGUGAAAGUCUGCAGCUUAACUGCAGGGGUGCGCUGGGAACUGCUGAGCUUGAGUGACGGAGAGGGAGCUGGAAUUCCGGGUGUGGGGGUGAAAUCUGUAGAUAUCAGGAAGAACACCGAUGGCGAAGGCAAGCUCCUGGCCGAUGACUGACGCUGAGGUGCGAAAGUGUGGGGAUCAAACA
RNAcentral lists this ribosomal RNA (427 nucleotides) under uncultured bacterium. RNAcentral describes it as "bacterial SSU rRNA". It matches the Rfam family "Bacterial small subunit ribosomal RNA", at positions 355 to 774 of the family's 1533-position model. The record is from RNAcentral.